CCUAUCUUGAAUAUCUAAGGAUGCGAACGUCAUACCUGAGUGACGAUCUGGGGAGCCUUCAAGGAAUUUCAGCUUCUCAUUUCCUGGAGAACAGUAAAAGCUGCUACUUAAGAUAUGGUAAUAGAAAAUGAGGAGUUCCCCAUUUGCUGCCUCCACUGUCCUUAGGCUCUUUUAAAAUAUUAAACUCAACUGCACAGGCUAGAAAGACUUGGCUUAUUAUGGGUAUUCCCUAUGAGUUCUGCAGCUCCAUCAUGUUUCGUUUGUAUACUUUAGCCGGUCUGUUUUUUCUGGUCUCUGUUUCUGGAUAGUGUACAUAUUUUAACUGCCUUGUGAUGCCGUAUUAACAUUUUGUUAUUGUGACAUGCUAGGGUUGCCCUCUCCGGGAGUCAGCUGUCUUCUCCAAGUGUAAUCUUUGGGAGGAGUGAGUGCUCAAGUGUGUAAAUGUAUAACCAUUCAUUGCACACACUGCCCCUGUAUUUGUACAGCACUGGAGAAGGAUUUUCCCAGUGGUCUUCAGAGGAGUACUUGUCCCUAUUGCCAUCUGUGAAAUGCAGGAGGGCAUAUGUUUGUACUCUGUUGUGCAUUUGAGGACCUCUCUGUUUUCUCUCAAGUCAAUAUAGGCUGUAAGGCUGCAUUUCCAACCUCCAUUGCCCUGGGCUGGGAGGAAGAGGCAGACUGGGCAUGUGGCCUCCACUUGCAGAGUGUUGCCAGCAUCACUCUCUAGCACAGAGCUUCUCUUCUGCAGGUGAUGUGCCUGCUGGUGGCAGCCCCCAGGAAACCCCCAAACAGGAGACGGAACAGGGCUAAGAUGGCCUAGGAUCCACUGGUUCCCAAGCCAGCCCUGCCCCACUGCCAUAACAUGUGACAGAACAGAACUGGUGCAGUUGUUUGCAAUGAAUGUGGUGGUAGCACUGGGGUGUUAGACAUUUGCAAAUGUCAGAGUUUUGGAGUGGUAGCUAUCACCAUUGGACUGUUUGGAAGAUAGUGAAAUUUGUACCUUUUAAAGUAUCUUUAUGCAUGUUUCCAUAAAGCCAUUGAUUUAUUUCAUACAUGUGCACACUUUUUCAAGCACAAGUUUUAAGGUGAAUCUGACAUUAUUAUUACUAUUUUAAGUUGCAUUCUGCACACCCUUCAUCAGCAUAUUUGUCCUUGACUAAAAGUGCUUCCAGGCAGGGGUUUAUUGUGGAUUUGGUACUGUCAUGCAUCCAACUUUGUUUGUAGGCAGCAUCCACACAAUGUCAUUGGCAAUGAAACACCAGCUCAUAUUCCCUCACUGCCCCCUGCCCCCAGCUGCCAAAAUAUAAUCCGGAUUUACCCUUUGGGGGGGGGGAGCAAAUUCAGUAAGGAGAAAGAACCCUAUUGUUGACUACCCAUUUGUGGUAUCUCCAGGGCCUACUUGCAAAUUAAGUCCCCAUCUGGAAGCAUCCUCAGAAAAGAGGAUUUAAAUAAUAAUAAUUCUGGGCAUCUUUUCCUUUUCUAUCUCUUUCUCAUUUUCUGUUCUUUCUUUGUCAGUCCUUUUUAAACUUCCCUUGGAUUUUUUAAAGCCAGUAAUAGUGCUUUUGCUGCAAUUCUUGGAAACUGAGACAGAAAUCAUAACAAACUGCACUGCCUAAGGUAGUUUCCAGCUGCCAAGAAUUAGGGCAAGGUGGGGAGAGAGGAGGGAAAAUGGUCUUCAGAUAAAAAGAGCAGCCCUUGGGAAGUCCGGCUUUUCACAAAGUGCUGAUGGUCUCGGUGCUAGCAGUGCUCUGCUGCACAACUUCUGUGGCUACAGAUGCACCGCUACCGUUUUUAUGUUGGUUUCUGAGGUUUCUCUAUGUUCCAUGGCCUUUUUAUUUUUCCCAUUGUACCAGGCCUGCCUGUCUUCCCCUGCCAACCUAAGCAGCCUGUUGGCAGCAAGUUCUUGUCUGUGUUCCUGAAGGAUGGAACUCUCUCGUUUUGCAUGCUGGCCCUGAAGCAAGGCUUUCCUGCUCUUCCAGCCUCUCCGCCGCUCGCAAGCUUUGUCCAUAUCAGCUGCUAGAAUAAGGGAGCAGGAAGGGUAAUCCAGUGCCUGCAUAGGAGGCCAUGCCUGUAGCUUUGCUUUUUCCUCAGAUUGGCUACUGGUCUUGUUUUGCUCCAUGUGGAGUAUGAAUAAGGGCUGUUUUGGCAUGGCGAUAAAGCCUGAGUUAGAUAAAGCACCAAGAUGCUGUUCAAAAGGAACUGCGAGCUGGUAUUGAUUCACAUUAAUAAGUACUUUGCACAAAUAAGCACAUACAUAGCCCCCGAUUCACAGCAAUAGCUGGCUUCAAGCCCACUUUGACAAUGCUGCCCUGUGGAAGUGGGUCGGGGAUGGCAUUAAUCGCACAUUCUGAACCUGGCACAACAGGUCGAAUGUGCUUCAUGGAAUUUGACAUACACAAUGGUUGGGAGAAUCUUGAGCAGAAAGUUGGAAAUAUCAAUGCCUCUGAACAAAGACUUAUGGCAAGGCUUAAUAGAAAUUGCCCACUAGCCAUAAGCAGAGUAAGUGUAUACUUAAUGGAGAAAAUGCUAUAAGCACCACAAAUGAAACCAGUAUAUAUAUUUGCUACUCCACAUUGUAGUCACAGACUGCCAAAUUGCAUUCUGGAACAUGGGAAGGUGUCUUCUGCUGACACAGCCCAUUGGUCCUUUCUCCUUAGCUUUGUCUACACUGAUUGACUCUCUGGGGUUUCCCAGCCCUACCUAGAAAUACAAGGGAUUGUUCCUGUGACUACGUCCCUCCCUAUGCCCUUUUAAAAAAAAACCCGAAUGCAUCUGUAGAGACUUUGCCCACCUGAAUGUGCCUGUGUGUGCUGCCAGCUACUCUUCCACCACACACCAGUAUCGCACACCCACCGUCCAGGGAGCAGGGAUUGGGGUGGAAGGAAGAAAUCACUGCAGGGCCAGCCCAUUCGGGGAAAUGGGGCAGCCAGCUUGACCAGCAGGUGCUGGUAAGCAAAGAACAGCUGUGCAAGCCUGGAGUUUAAAAAUGCCUUGGGAUUGGGCUGCUGCCUUAUCACCGGGUGCAUCAGGUGAUUUAAAGGUAUUGGGUAGGUUUCUGGAUGGUAACCUGGCGAUCCAAACACACCGCUUUUUCUGGCAUGGAUUUUAAUACCCUUUGCAGAGCAAGCAUGUUAAUGAUGACAUGUGGGGAUAGCCAUCCUGGGUGUUGUUUUAUUAUCUCCUAACCCGCCCAGUUUUGUGUUCUGAAAGCAGGCAUUGUUGCUCAUUCUCCUAUUACGUCCUAUUUUUAAAUGAUUGAGUUCCGCAUAUUAGCAGUGGGCAGAGCUUACCUGACCUCCCGUUAAGAAUGUCGCUGCAGUUUACCAGAACGGAGCAGGGGGCGAUAUGCAGCAACAAGGUCAGCACUGUGCAAACGCCAAUCCGACACUCACGCCAGUGCACUGGCAAGGUGCCCACUCCACCACUGGGAAUGGGAGGUCAGCUACGUGCUUCCACCCUGCUGACAGUGGCUGCUUCCACUGUGGAUGAUAGACUCAGUAGUGGAGCUAGAAAUACGCAAAGCAGGCCUGAGGAUUGUUCUGGUGGAAGAUACCAAUUGCUGGCAGAUUCUGCCAGCAAUUUAUUCGAAUGGGAUGGAGGGCUUUCCUUUAUUGGCAAGCUUGUUGCAUCUGAAUUGCUUUGUGUUAGUUGCAGAUGAAAGUGUGUUCUCAAAGUAGCUGCUAAAGUCCGAAGUGAGCUGAAGGCACAGUCCCGUUGCACUGACUGAGUAAAUCCUACUGAGCUUUGUAGGACUUACUUAGUAAGUCGGUAGGGGGUUGUGCCCAUGUCAUGUCAGUAUCUCUGCCGCUCUUCAGAGCACUUCAGCAAAUCCUCAGAAAUUUACCUUUGAAAACCCAGAUAUGUUCUCAAGGUGCGACGUUUUGAGACAUCCUUCUCAGUUGAGGGCUCACAUGCCUUAGUUACAGCUCAUCCAUUUCAUAGCUUGGAGGGAAAAAAGAUUGAUAGGGAUGCCAGCUUCUCAGCUUGUUGGUGUGCCACUAAAAGCUGCUUGAUUUGCAGGAAUUAGCUGCCGACAUCCCCAUUAUAAAAAGGUAUAUUUGCUGGUUUCUGCACAUCUAGCUGCUCUGAAAUGUUAAGUCUGAAUGCUCCCCCCCAUCAGUUGGCAACCCCGGUUGUCGUUCCAGUGAUUAUAAUCCAAAACUGCUUAAUAUGGCCAUUAAAAAUAAUAAAAGGUUGCUUUUGAUUGUUUAGCCAGCAGGGGGGAAAUGCAUCAAAAAGGAUUUCUUAGUGAGCUGUCCAAGAACUCUUUCAGCAUGUAAAGCACAGACUGGGAACCUGUGGCCCUCUGGAUAUUGCUAGACUGCAGUGUCCGUCAGACAGCAUGCCCAGUGGGCAGGGAUUGUGGGAGUUGUAAUCCUGCAACAUCUAGUAGGUCACAGUUUCCCCACCUCUGACGGAAAGAGUGCUUGGGAUCAUUCAGUUUCAUUUGUACAUGGGCUCAGAACUGGUACAAAGUUCUAAUUCUUAGCUGUAAGUAUAUGGAGAAAACAGGCCAAGGGUGUCUCCAGAUGAGUGUUUAUUGUGGAUUUGGUGCUCCUCAUGCAUGCAAGUUUUAUGCAGCAGCCACACUAUGUUGUCAGCAUGUAAAUGCCAGCCUGUCUCCCCUGCCCUCUCUCUGGAGAAAAAUCCAAUAAAUGAAAACAAACCCUUGUUGCCAGCAAGCCAUUUGCAAUAUCUCAACAACCCAUUUGCAAAUUAAGCCCCUUUUGGGAAAUAUCCCAAACACGAAAUGUUCUGGAAUAUAAUUGUUUAUGUGUAUAAAUAAAAUGUAGUCUCUUCUAUCCCUCUGCUUGAGAUACGGUUGCUCCUGUUUCAAAUGCCUUGCUGCCCUGGACCUCUCUCAGCAGCUUGACUUGCUGGGCUUAGAAGGGGGGUUGAUGUUCAUUUCCAUGUUGUAAAAAGCUGUACCCGGUUAUUUCAUUCCAACCAAGCCGCUGUUGAAAGGCGCAGCGACAGAGACUAGUUCAAAUAUUGGCAACCCUCCCCUCUGCCUGCACAGACACAAACACACACUUGUAUAAGAAACACUUUUCCUUUGAAAUUAAUUAUGGAACUUGGCAUCUUCCAAUGAAAAAUCUGAGUGAAGGUUGGUUGUGUUUAAAAGAAGCUCUGCUGAAAGCAAGUGAACAUCAGUAGCUCAGACCUAACUUUUCCCAUUGAUUUCAAUGGGUCUUAAGUGCAACUGUCUCUGGGUGGGGCCUGUGUCUCAGGAGGGGGCACUGCAGAUUAUGGAAGCCAUUUCCUGUGUUUAUGAGGAGGGCUUUUGUCUAUUUGAAGCCUUUGAGUAAAGCGGGGUGUGGGAUGGGGGAGGCAACUUAAGGGUGCUAAGGGGAUUGAAUUGUUUAGACGGUUUAAAAUGGUGUUAUGAAAAUUAUUGCGUGUACAAUGCUUUUUCUAUAAAAAAACCCUAAUGAUUUCUUCUGUAUGGUUUUUUCUUCUGAAGAGCUUCAAGGAGUCAGAUAUAGGCAUACACAACCCGGAAGGCAACUGUUACAUAACAUCCUUUAGAUGACUUUUCAAAGUGCAAGGUGCUUUUUAUUCUUACUCUUACGAUCUUGUUCACCUUCACAAGAGCCACUUAAAGCCAAGCUGUCCAGAACGUCUUGGCCAAAGAAAAAAUAGGCAGGUCUAGUUUGUCAUACAGGCAUGAAGAACAAAUAAAGAAUGAAGGACUGUCCCUUGUAAAGAAGGCUACAUGGCCACUGUGCCUCCCCUUUCCAACUCCUUGACACCAUAUUCAUCACAUUGAUGUAAUAUCCAUUAAAGAAGGCUAUACUAUUUCUCUACCCUCUUCAGACAGAUAGUCUGGUCAAGCGAUGUGAAGAAGACCAAAUAUAAGUCAAAUGUUUUGAAAAGUUGGGUUCCUAACUGAAGCAUCAGCCUUCUUUCGGGGUUUUAGAAAAUCCUGUUACUAUAAUGGUGUAACCUCCAGGUGAAGUUUAAAUUUGGUUAUUGUGCCUUUUUCUUUUUUCUUUUGCAAUCCUCUCCCUUCCCAAUUGCAGAUUUUUUAAAAAAGGGAUUUAGAUAUGCGCCACGAUUCUUUCAGGAGUGAUAUAGAAAGAGAAGUGUGCGUUGCUCCCGCACUGGACUCUUGUACUUUUUAUAGAAAGAAGUUAACUUGACAAUAGCCAAUUGCACUGGGAAAGCAGGUAACCUUUCUAAAAUUAAAAUUAGUUUUAGCAUAUAAUUCACUCAUGCUGUCUCCCCUCCGAUCCUCCCAGCUUGCAAGAUGGCUCUCCAGCCAGAUCCUUGGCAAACCUGGUCCUGAAGCACACAAACCUCCUUUUCCAUAGUCAGAGACCCAGCGAGAAUGUAGCAUUUUGUCUAUCCUGGUUGUGUGCCUUCAGGACUCUUCUGCCUUGGCCUGUGGCAACUUUAGAGGAGAUCCUUUUUUCCCCCUUUUAGUUUUUGGUACCUUUGCAAUAUAUUUAGCUCUGGCUUUUCUCUGUUUUGGUGCUUUUAAAUAUAUUUGAAAUUCGUCUUGGAUUUUUCCCCCAUAACUGGUACAAUUUUUAAUAAAAUGCUUAAAUC
Molecule: long non-coding RNA, 6549 nt
Filed under: Podarcis lilfordi (Lilford's wall lizard)
Lineage: Eukaryota; Metazoa; Chordata; Lepidosauria; Squamata; Lacertidae
Source: RNAcentral